AAGAACAAGUAGACGCUUCGCGUCUACUUUGGUCCGUGGGGACCAGUAGAAAUUUUUAAAAUUUUUGUCAGUACUACAAAAAAAAAUCUCCACAAUUAUCCAAGGAGUGCCCUAAACACGCAGUGGGGAAGAGACCUGCCGUAUCCUCAUAAGGCUCUGAGUUCAAAUCUUAGCCUCGGCAUGGUGCUCUACCCAACUUUUUCUUUUUUUAGUACUUCGAAAAAAUUAACAUCUAUAGUAAAUCCAAAAAUCUCAUCCAUUAUUCUCUAAGAGACCAACAUACAAAAUUGACGAAAAACAAAGAAAAACACAAAGUCACGGUCUCACAACAUGUAAUUAAACGGGCUACACGUGUUUCGCUCUAGUUAGAGCAUCAUCAGGCCUUUAGAAGCCAUCCACACACUUAUGCUGUAACUGAUGAUGCUCUAACUAGAGCGAAACACGUGUAGCCCGUUUAAUUACAUGUUGUGAGACCGUAACUAUGUGUUUUUCUUUGUUUCUCGUCAAUCUAUAGUAAAUACAGAGAGAAAAGGGAAGGUCUUAUUAUAUAUUAUAAUCAGAAAUAAAUUUCAUGGACAUAUUACUUACUUAUUUCUGGGUAUCAUGCUUCAGAGAACCAUGAUGUAUUACAAUACGCUCCGCUCUUUAAUUUUAGUUUAUUUAUAUUCUCAAAACUUGCAUAUAUCAAAAUUAUGUCAGGGUUCUAAAAUGAAUCGGUAAUAAAAUCGUAAACCAGAUCAACAUUGGAAAUAAUUUAAAAAAUUUGCUUUGGUCCGAUUGAAAAAAGUACUAUACUACCAAAUAGUUACAUCUAUUCUGUAGCAAUAAAAGUUAUAAAAUUCUGUCUAUUAUUAAUUUUAAUAUUAUAAAGUGUAUCGUUUAACUCUUAGCCAUUAUUUAUAAUUUAAUUGUUAAUUAUGCCUAAAAAAACGAAUUAACAACUUUGGUAUUGUUUGGAAGGUAAACAGCUUAAUUCCUUUAUGUAAAGCCACCUUAACAUGUUUUUGCAUAAUUCUGACUCACGUUGGUUGCUAUCGGGCUUAAGCCAUAAAAAUCGAAGAAAAAAAGAAGAAGACGAAGAGACUUUCACUUGUCAUUUCAAUGUCACUUUCCGGCCCACAAGCAUAAACGCCACCGGCAACGGAAGUUCCCAAAAUCCAAACAAAUGUUGGAAGAUAUUUUUAAGUCUCCGCAUCUUUCUUACUUUCCUAUAUGAAAAUAAAAUUGGACUACACCAACAAAGGUUAUGUGUUUUGCACCAGAUUGAAAGCAUCAUAGCGAAAAACGGACCUGUCAUAUCUUUAAAUUUUCAAAAGAGCCCCUGGAAAAAGAAAAAUGAAUAUCUUUCCCAAUGAAUAGGCAAAUGGAUAAAAAACCUUCAGUCCAUGCAUUGGUAUGUAAUUGUUGACAAAAAUACAAUGAAUGGCCUCACUACUUUUCCACAUGCAAAGAGGUUAACCAAGGAGAAAUUAAAGAAAUUGUCAAAAACCUAGGUAAAUACAGAAUUGCUUAGUACAAACAUAUCUAUACCCAGUACAAGUUCGUCCACUUCUUUGAAGCAUGGUACUUCAAACAGAAACACUGUCAACAAUUUUGUAGAAGGUGAGCCGGUGUCGAAUUCCAGUAAGGGACAUGAUUUCAAUUUUGCACCAACAACAGAGCUAAAAUUCAUUUUGCCGCAAAAAACUGGAGGAUGUGAAAGAAAAAAGUGCAGAAGUUAAAUUAAGUUUUUCAUAUGAGCACAUAAAAAAUAAUCAUGACAAAGUUCAGUUGUAUACAGGUUUGACAUGUAAUAAAUAUUUUUGUAAUCUUAUUAAGUUAAUUAGUUUUAUAUAUUAUUUAAAUAAUAAUUGUAUACUUCACAUAGAAUAUGCAGAAAUUAUAUGUACAUAUAUAAAUUUUUUUAUUAAGAUAAGGACAACAUGUAUUAAAGCAUAACACAUAAUAUAAACACACACGUAAUAUCUUCAUUAAAAAUUAUGAUUGUAUGUUAUGUAGCAUUAGAGCCUAAAAACAUUAAGGAGAAUAAAGGUCGUUAUUGGCAAAUGACAAUAUUAUUUUCUCAAUUUCCUACAUUUUUGGUGAAGGGAAUAGGCUCUGCCCUAAAAAGCCAGGUUAAACCAAGAGCAAAAAAGUUUAGGUCUCAUGAGUGUAAGUAAAGUAAACCUUUCUAUUAAAAAGGCCAUCCAAGAUAAAAAAAAAUAUACUAAAAAUAUUAAUGUUAAUUCUUUAGCGACAUCUAGGGUGGAUAUGCUGAAUCAACUCAUCAAUUAAUUCACUGUCGUACUGAUGAAAGUUAUGGCGUAUUCACCAAAGUAUGCAGAUAAUCGCUGAAAAAUAAUUUUAUUUGCGUUUUCAAAUUAUGCUUAAAAUUCAAAACUUCUUUUUUUACCUUAAAGGCCAUGCAAAACUUAGUAGAAAAGUUUAUUAAGUAAAUUUUCCACGAUUUAUACGUGCCACAAGAUAAAGGGAAAAGAGGGUCCCAUUUAUUAGGGUAUUGGGAUAAGACAACUAGGUUUUAUGUCGAUUUUUUUUAUUUUCCAUUUUUAUUUUGAAAAGCAAUUGUAAUAAAAUAUAAAAAGAAUUAACAGGAAAAGAAUCGGUAAUAAAAGAAACUAUUAACGAAUUGAAUCGAAGCUAUAGAAGCCGAGAUAUUAGUAAAAAUGUGGGAAAAACAAAAGAAAACUGGUUUUUUCCCACGGUACAAUUUUUUUUUUUUUAAAUGAUUAUUGACAAAUUUUAAAGUAAGCCCUAAACUAAC
Anthonomus grandis grandis is the source of this 2761-nucleotide long non-coding RNA. RefSeq lists it as uncharacterized. The record is from RefSeq and is a predicted model, not a curated record. NCBI's taxonomy places the organism in Eukaryota, Metazoa, Arthropoda, Insecta, Coleoptera, Curculionidae. The transcript is spliced from 4 exons.